GAAACCUAGGGUUAUCACAAUAGCCGCCUCCUCUCUUGCGCUCAUCUAGACUUUUUUGUCAUCGAUUCCUCCAGAUCUCGCUUCUAUGGCGAAUGAAUCUUUUCAUUAUAGCUUCUGUGUAAUAGAGAGCCUUAUGUUCUACACAUCGGUGUUGAUUUUUCAGCGAUUUAACCGUUUUGAGGUAUCGCAUCGGCAGAUCUGACGCAGAUCUCAUGAAAGCUAUGCUUCCUCUACAGAUCUGCGGCUGGAAUCUUUUCGUGAAGGUUUCUAAGAUGUGAAUCGGUUGCGUUAAAGCGCUUUUGAGGCUGAAACGGAGUCAUGACGGACGCGAAGGGUUGUUCAUGUGUGGGUUAAGUUAAAAAAAAAUUAGGAUGUAGAAGAUGUUGAAUUGCAUCUUUUGUCAUCCGACCUUUGCCAUGUCAGGUGCGCUUGCAUGGCAGGUCAAAAACUGAUCCUUAAUAAAAAAAAAGUUUUGUGGUUGGGAGAGGAGUUCGCACGGGUGAUUUUUUUUAUCCCGGGUUCUCCUCUCCUUGUGUGCGUGUCUUGCUCUCUGCUUUCUCACCCUCUAUUUAUUUAUUAUGCACCGAAACACAAAGAGACCAUCAUGAAACACCAAGUAGUUGAAAGCUAGCUUAUCAACCUGGAGCUGUGGCCCUCAUAUCUCUUCAUGAACCCAAGUUGGCACCCGUAAGUAUACUGAUUUACAUUUUUUAAUUUCUGUCAAUUAUAUCGCAAACCACACAACCAUACCAGAAAUAUAACCUGAUACUUUCAGUGCAAGAAUACUACAACAGCCGUGAUUUGUCGUUCUUAUUGUAUCUCAAAUCCAUUUUUUUAGAAGUGCUUUUUUAUGAGACGCUUGGAAAGUCAUUGAAACCUACAAUCCAAAUUAUUAGAUUGUGUAAAUUUACCUUAAUUUUAUUUCAGAACAUUACCUCAAUUUUCUACUGUACACGUUAUAUCAACGUUAUAUCUUGUUGGAGAUGUUUGAUUCUUGAAUUGUUUAAUUUUGUUUGCACCAUAAUUCAGAAUUUGUGUGUUUAGGAAGUUCGGAGCCAGUGAUAUAUGCAGGUUGUUGUGGGCGAGUAAAACUUUUGAUGUUCCUCGAUCUCAUAAACGGUUUAUUGAAAACAGAGGUAUUAUCAAGCAAAUGUAUGCCAUUGUUGUAAUUCUUAAAUUUUGUAAUCUAUAUCUAUUUAUUUAAUUUUGAAAGAAUGUUUAUGAUGUUAACUUUAGUCCAUUAUUGGGUAUGUUAUUAGACAAUCUUCUGUAACAGUUCGUAUUAUGUCCUGGCAAUACAGUUGAAGUUUCUGUCCCAAUGAUUAAUUGCAGCAUUGUGUAUACAAUUUUAUUUUUGAGGUUGCUAAUUUGUUUAUUACAGAUUGUAGUGAAUGUUCCUCUCUUCAAGUAAAGUCGCUUAUUUUGUAGGGAAGUUGCUACUAAAUAUUAAGAUUGAUACUCUCUUUGGCUCAUUUUGAAAAUGGAUCUUGUGAUAUAAAUCUGUAAGCUCAAAAUGGUAGAGCGCUCUUCUUCUUUUGAAGUUGAGAGCGCUGCUUUUCUGAACAGCUUGCCUAGCGCUUCAAUUUAUCUCUCGCUAUGAUGGAGAGAAACCCGAUGGAGCAUUAGGACGUUGUGUUUUUGUGUUUUUUUCUCUACCGUUCUGCUGCAAACAAUUCACUGUCUAUGGUUCUGCUUAAUGUGAUUCUAAUAGAUAAAAUUUCUCUUC
Long non-coding RNA from Raphanus sativus (radish), 1726 nucleotides. RefSeq lists it as uncharacterized. The transcript is spliced from 3 exons. NCBI's taxonomy places the organism in Eukaryota, Viridiplantae, Streptophyta, Magnoliopsida, Brassicales, Brassicaceae. The record is from RefSeq and is a predicted model, not a curated record.